Camellia sinensis is the source of this 454-nucleotide non-coding RNA. The record is from RefSeq and is a predicted model, not a curated record. NCBI's taxonomy places the organism in Eukaryota, Viridiplantae, Streptophyta, Magnoliopsida, Ericales, Theaceae.
CCUAGCUUCCAAAACCUUGAUUUCCUCCACUUUUAUCAACAAAUCCUCCAUAGAUCUUGUAUCAAGGAUGGAGAACAAGAAAGGGUCAACAUUUUCAACCGAUUGAAUUUCAAAAUUUAGGUGGAAUCUCAUCCAAGCUCGCUCCUUUGUUUGUUCUUCGAGGGUCAGCUACAGGGGUGGACCAAGCACCUGAACGCUGUCACCAAUCAGAUGGUCAGUCCUAGCCAUGACGCUGCCUUCUUUUGUCAACCUUCGUGUGUCCAGGCACUAUACACAGUCAUUGAUUUUGUUAAGCUGAUAAGAUGUUGGCUUGCUUUUUGAAUGUCUAUCUAAGAGUGAUGUAUAUAGCUCUAAUGUUUUUGUAUAUGCCCAAUAAUAGGGCUGGGUCUGUAUAUAUGUAUGUAUAUAACCGAUGUUCAAGUGUAUGUUUUAGAUUUUAUUUGUUUGUUAAAAG